This 253-nucleotide ribosomal RNA is filed under the name uncultured bacterium. RNAcentral describes it as "partial 16S ribosomal RNA". It matches the Rfam family "Bacterial small subunit ribosomal RNA", at positions 524 to 776 of the family's 1533-position model. The record is from RNAcentral.
UACGGAGGGUGCAAACGUUGCUCGGAAUCACUGGGCGUAAAGGGCGCGUAGGCGGGAUGGCAAGUCAGUCGUGAAAUCUCUCGGCUCAACCGAGAAACGUCGGCUGAUACUGCCGUUCUUGAGGGAUGCAGAGGAGACUGGAAUUCCCGGUGUAGCGGUGAAAUGUGUAGAGAUCGGGAGGAACACCGGUGGCGAAGGCGGGUCUCUGGGCAUUUCCUGACGCUGAGGCGCGAAAGCGUGGGGAGCAAACGGG